AGAUUGAACGCUGGCGGCAUGCCUAACACAUGCAAGUCGAACGGGAGUAGCAAUACUCUAGUGGCGGACGGGUGAGGAAUACGUAGGAAUUUGCCCUUAAGUGGGGGAUAACCCGGGGAAACCCGGAUUAAUACCGCAUGACCUCGAAAGAGCAAAGUGGGGGAUCGCAAGACCUCACGCUUUUGGAGAAGCCUACGUCGGAUUAGCUAGUUGGUGAGGUAAUGGCUCACCAAGGCGACGAUCCGUAACUGGUCUGAGAGGAUGAUCAGUCACACCGGAACUGAGACACGGUCCGGACUCCGUACGGGAGGCAGCAGGUGGGAAUAUUGGACAAGUGGGCGCAAGCCUGACUCCAGCAAUGCCGCGUGUGUAGAAGAAGGCCGUUCGGUUGUAAAGCUAAGUUUAGGUUAGGGAAAGUAAAAACUCGUACCUACUAAC
RNAcentral lists this ribosomal RNA (438 nucleotides) under uncultured soil bacterium. Its description in RNAcentral is "bacterial SSU rRNA". It matches the Rfam family "Bacterial small subunit ribosomal RNA", at positions 26 to 473 of the family's 1533-position model. The record is from RNAcentral.